CCAUGAUCCAUUAACCCAGGCCUUGCUGGGAAGGGGCCCAGAAAGCCAGAGCGUCCAGGCAACCCAGGUGAUUGUUAUACUCAGGAAGCUUUCAAAAAUACCUCUAGAUACAAGAAAUGCUCAGCUGCAGAGAAGCAUCCAUCAAGAGUCUAGCAGGGGCUCUUGUUCCAGCUGCUCCCUGUGACUCCCCACUGCUCUGCAUUCUGCCAUAUCCAGUGAUGGUUUAUGACACAAUUCACCAGGCAGCAAGCCAUGUGCCUCUUACAGACAGCAAUUAGGAGAAAGGAAAGGCCGAAUUACAAGCAUGUCAAUAAAGGCCCAGCGAACGCCCUCAACCAAUUCCUCCAUCUACAAGAAAAUACCCAAAGAGGGAACGUCAAAGCCAAGAAGCUUCAGUCGAGGUUUUCUGGAACAAAAUUGGCUUGCAUGAGAAAUGACUCUUUACUCAACAUGGUCUGACCAGAUCUGCUUGACAAGACUGUGGCUGAUAAUAUGUGGCAAAGGCAACACUGCCCAAUGCUAGCCAGAAAUGGAGAAAACAAACAAGAAAGGUGAGCCAAUGUGUCAUCGUCGUGGCAGCACACUCAAAGACAAGGACAAGAAUCCUCUCAUUAAAAAUGCAGAGUUACAGGUGGCUCACACCUGUAAUCCUAACACUUUGGGAAGCCAAGGCGGGCAGAUCGCUUAAGCUCACGAGUCCAAGACCAGCCUGGACAACACGCCAAAGCCCCAUCUCUACAAAAAAUACAAAAAUUAGCCGGGCAUCAUGGCGCACACCUGUAGUCCCAGCUACUCGCAGGCUAAAGUGGGAAGAUGGCUUGAGCCUGGGAGGCAGAGGCUGCAGUGAGCCGAGAUCGCACCACUGCACUCCAGCCUGGGGGACAGAGCCAGACCUUGUCUCAAAAAAAAAAAAAAAAAAAAAAAUGCAGACCCUAUCUCCCUAGUCUGUAAAUCUGGACCGGCCUUGUGACUUGCUUUGGCCAACAAAAUGCAGAUAUUACAUUAUGCCUGUCCUGAGCCUAGGUCUCAGGAGACCUCACAUGUUUCUACUUGCUUGCUUGAACUUCUGCCAUCACCAUGAGAACAUGCACAGGCUAGCCGGCUGAAGGAAGCAGGACACAUGAAGCAGAGCCGAGUCAUUCCAAUCACCUCUGCCAAAGCCAACCUUGAUCAGCCAACCCCCAGAAAUUCAAGCCAGCCUGGCCAAAAUCAACAGAGCUGCAUGGGGGCCCACCACUGACUCCAGAUGCAUCAGCAGUAACUGCUUAUUGUCAAAUGCCAGUGAGGCUUUGUGAUUGAUUGUUACACAGCAUUACCAAAGCAACAGAAACUCUUGCAUCAUUUAUAACAGGAAAACAAGCUCAAAGAAGUUAACUGAUUUGCCCAUGUUGGUAAGAGCAGAGCUGGGCUAUGAGCUAUCAAUGCAACUUUGCAGAAAAUCAGAUGUAAUUUC
This 1453-nucleotide long non-coding RNA is filed under the name Homo sapiens (human). Its description in RNAcentral is "HSALNT0280835". The record is from RNAcentral. Lineage: Eukaryota; Metazoa; Chordata; Mammalia; Primates; Hominidae.